RNAcentral lists this ribosomal RNA (733 nucleotides) under Alteromonas macleodii. RNAcentral describes it as "bacterial SSU rRNA". It matches the Rfam family "Bacterial small subunit ribosomal RNA", at positions 62 to 786 of the family's 1533-position model. The record is from RNAcentral. Lineage: Bacteria; Pseudomonadati; Pseudomonadota; Gammaproteobacteria; Alteromonadales; Alteromonadaceae.
UCGCACGGUACAAGUACGCUGCUUGCUCUUCGAUGACGAGCUGGCGGACGGGUGAGUAAUGCUUGGGAACUUGCCUUUGCGAGGGGGAUAACAGUUGGAAACGACUGCUAAUACCGCAUAAUGUCUUCGGACCAAACGGGGCUUCAGCUCCGGCGCAAAUAGAGGCCCCAGUGAGAUUACCUAGUUGGUAAGGUGACGGCUUACCAAGGCGACGAUCUCUUGCUGUUCUGAGAGGAACAUCAGCCACACUGGGACUGAGACACGGCCCAGACUCCUACGGGAGGCAGCAGUGGGGAAUAUUGCACAAUGGGGGAAACCCUGAUGCGCCAUGCCGCGUGUGUGAAGAAGGCCUUCGGGUUGUAAAGCACUUUCAGUUGUGAGGAAAAGUUAUGAGUUAAUACCUGCUAGCCGUGACGUUGACAACAGAAGAAGCACCGGCUAACUCCGUGCCAUCCUCCGCGGGAAUACUGAGGGUGCGAGCGUUAAUCGGAAUUACUGGGCGUAAAGCGCACGCAGGCGGUGUGUUAAGCUAGAUGUGAAAGCCCCAGGCUCAACCUGGGAUGGUCAUUUACAACUGGCACACUAUAGUCUUGGAGAGGGGAGUGGAAUUCCAUGUGUAGCGGUGAAAUGCGUAGAUAUCUGGUAGGAACAUGAAUGGCGAAGGCGACUCCUCUGGGCCAAGAACUGACGCUCAUGUGCGAAAAUGUGGGUAGCGUAGCACGGAUUAGAUACC